CAGUCAUAUCGCGUUGAAAUACCGGUUCCCAUACUGCCACCGAAGUUAAGCAACAUUGAGCCUGGUCAGUACCUAGAUUGGUGACCGCUUGAGAAUAUUAGAUGCUGAA
Acanthosepion pharaonis is the source of this 109-nucleotide non-coding RNA. Lineage: Eukaryota; Metazoa; Mollusca; Cephalopoda; Sepiida; Sepiidae. The record is from the annotation of a GenBank genome assembly.